AACAUUCCUAAAACCCGCCAUGCUUUCAGUAAGAAGAGUAGCAAGCACUGAGCCCACAAAAUGACACAGCACAGGAGGGCACAAACUCUGUAUGCCCAGGGAGAGCAGUGUUGCAAUGGGAGGCAGGGUGGCUAUGGUAAACAGACCAAGCCCAAUUUCCAGAAGAAAAGCUGAAACUAUGUAGAAGAUUAUGCUGAGGCUUGAAUGCUUGAUCUAAGAAACUCCAACUGCAAAUCUAAGAAAAUGCUGGCUAUUAAUACAGACACAAGCAUUUUGAACUGAGAAGACAUAAUAAGAGAAAAGGCCAA
Molecule: long non-coding RNA, 308 nt
Filed under: Homo sapiens (human)
Lineage: Eukaryota; Metazoa; Chordata; Mammalia; Primates; Hominidae
Description: non-protein coding lnc-ACTL7A-4:1
Source: RNAcentral